GUUUGAUCGUGAACCUACCUUUUGCAGUGACGACGCUUCUCCCACGGUACUCGGGCCCCGUCCUGAAACCUGUGAUUCAAGUAGAGUGAAUAGAAAGAGUGAAAACAGACGGUGAAGGCUCCAAGUUCCGCUUCAACUUCUUCCGGGGAUUUUGGCGAAGGAAACAAUACUCCUUCGACAACAAAGUGUAGCUUGACACGUGAUGUAGCUGCAACGUUACCUUCUCCCAGACUCCUGAAGUGUAAUCUGCCAUAGAACAGCCAAAUACUCAUCAAAAUGGCCACUCGGACAGGUUUAGCUAGUUGUUUAAGGUGUAUAGUUGGUAACCUCUCAUAGCGGGGUCAGCGGUGUAUAGGGUUUGGUUUGACAUCUUUGUCUAAGGCUGACAAUGCAGUUGCAGAUCGCCAGGUAUAAUAAAAUGUUUGUUGGGGACGCAAGUGUGACUCCUACAAUGUAUAUAGCUAAUAGUAAGUUAUAAUGUACAUUAUAUAUAGGGGACAGUUUUUUUUUAAGUCUAAAAUCCUGUCCAGUAAUUUUUGGGGCGACUGGUCAGUUGAUAAUCCAUCCUCAAAUUACUCACAAAAGUCAAAUUUUCAUGAAGCUAGAUUAAGUAGUAAUUUACAAUCUCAAUUUUCUUUAAUAGCUUAAAUCAUCAAAAAUUUAAAAAACUAGGUUGUAUAGAUAUAUUGCUUGUAAGCUGUGUGUUGUCAGAUUCGGAAAGGUCGCCGGUCAUGUAAGCCUCAUUCAGCGGCUGUGUUUUGCUUCGAUGUCAGCAGCCAUUGUUCCUUUAUAGUGCAGUCUACAUUAAAAUGAAGCCCCCCCCCCCCAUACAGGAAUGCUGUCCAAGACAACAUUUGGUAAUAACAGCCUGUAAUUAUAGUUACAGUCUUCACCCCAUUUUGUCUUGUAGCUAUCGCACGUCUACCGAAAGAAAUUAGAAGUAAAUUUCAGUUCAUUUGUUGACAUACUUAUUGCAAAAUCAAGAAAAUAUGGUUGUAUAUCAAGCACCAACCUUACUGCAAAUGAACUGUAGUUUAUGAAUAAUUUCCCCGGCGAGUGUAGACAUGUGAAUAGGUAACAAGUUCUGGCAAUGGAGACGAUAAAAAAAAAUAACGUCACCCUUAGCCUCAAAAUGCGCCAGGCUCAGGUUAUCUUGGCACACAACUCACAACCAGUCCCCUCCUACACACACGCAAGGCAGUUCCGCUUGGUUGUAUCGACUCGUCAGUCCUCCACAGCAGAUACUGCAGGGGCCUUCGUAACGUAAUUGAUUUGUUCACAUGUCAAAUUUCUGGUUACACAAGGGGUUUGUAUUUUUCGAGUCCAUUUAUCCAAUAUUUGUGGGAUUUAUAGAUGUAUAUUGUAAAUAAAAGUUUUUAUUUAACCAUUUAGCAUUAUAUAUAGUGAAAAGGUUUUAUUACUUGACACAAAACUAACAAUUUUAUUCCACAAUCCGGUGAGCUCAUCGCUACAUGUACAUAUCUUAGUCUUGGUAGCGUGUAAUUGUUUGUGGAUGUGGUAUAAUAUUUGCUAACACGGCCACCUUUAUUUGUAACCAUGAAAAGGUUUUCAUUUGUAACUGUCAGUGUAACAAGAAAACUGUCCUUGAAUGUAAAGCCACAUCUAAUAAUUUUAACCUCGAUGGCAUAAGUAAAAUCUUAGUAUUAAGGUCCGAGACCUCAUCUACCAUGCUUUUUAAGAUCUGAAACCUUAAUUGGCAAUUGCUUAUUGGUGUAGUGCCCGAGCAAUGUUGAAAUUUGCCAUCUAAUAUCACCGCUUGCAACAUCUUGCUCAUGAUGGUACCAAGUCUAAGAAUGGGUGGCAGCAAAGACUUGAUUGUACUUAAAAACUUUCCCGCUAGAUUGUUUUGUAAGUCAAAUUGUCUAAUGCAUUUUUAUUAACCUGUAAAACACUUGGCAAAAUAAACAUUACAAUAAU
RNAcentral lists this long non-coding RNA (1938 nucleotides) under Penaeus monodon (black tiger shrimp). Its description in RNAcentral is "uncharacterized LOC119589107". Lineage: Eukaryota; Metazoa; Arthropoda; Malacostraca; Decapoda; Penaeidae. The record is from RNAcentral.